Molecule: ribosomal RNA, 252 nt
Filed under: uncultured bacterium
Lineage: Bacteria
Description: partial 16S ribosomal RNA
Rfam family: Bacterial small subunit ribosomal RNA
Source: RNAcentral
UACAGAGGGUGCGAGCGUUAAUCGGAAUUACUGGGCGUAAAGCGCGCGUAGACGGUUUUGUAAGUCAGAUGUGAAAUCCCUGGGCUCAACCUGGGAACUGCAUUUGAAACUGCAUGGCUAGAGUAUGGAAGAGGGAAGUGGAAUUUCCGGUGUAGCGGUGAAAUGCGUAGAUAUCCGUAGGAACAUCCGAGGCGAAAGCGGCUCGCUGGAUCACAACUGACGCUGAGAGACGAAAGCUAGGGGAGCAAACAG